Molecule: transfer RNA, 67 nt
Filed under: Pomacea canaliculata
Lineage: Eukaryota; Metazoa; Mollusca; Gastropoda; Architaenioglossa; Ampullariidae
Description: tRNA-Lys
Source: RNAcentral
CUAUAGAUGACUGAGAUUUAAGUGUUAGAUUUUUAAUCUAAAAACGACACGUUGUUGUCUCUAUGGU